This 206-nucleotide long non-coding RNA is filed under the name Elaeis guineensis (African oil palm). Its description in RNAcentral is "long non-coding RNA (EGUI_LNC079271)". The record is from RNAcentral. Lineage: Eukaryota; Viridiplantae; Streptophyta; Magnoliopsida; Arecales; Arecaceae.
AUGUAUUAUUUCUGAUUUUAUGGAGGUUAAAAGGUUUGACUUCUCCCUUAUUCUUUCUCAUAUUCUUCAUCUAUUGAAAUGUUCAAGAGAUCCAAAGAAUAUUUUUUAGAUUAACCAUCCGAAGGGAUCUGUAAGAAGCUAGCACUUCGAGCGGAUCUUCAUUCGACGAACCUCUGAUUUUAUUGCAGCCUCAUGUGGAUCACCUA